UACAGAGGGGGCUAGCGUUAUUCGGAAUUAUUGGGCGUAAGGGGCGCGUAGGCGGCCAUGCGUGUCUUCCGUGAAAUCCCUCGGCUUAACUGAGGACGUGCGGAAGAAACUGCAAGGCUCGAGUCCGGGAGAGGGGGGUGGAAUUCCCAGUGUAGCGGUGAAAUGCGUAGAUAUUGGGAGGAACACCGGUGGCGAAGGCGGCCCCCUGGACCGGUACUGACGCUGAGGCGCGAAAGCGUGGGUAGCAAACGGG
This 253-nucleotide ribosomal RNA is filed under the name uncultured bacterium. Its description in RNAcentral is "partial 16S ribosomal RNA". It matches the Rfam family "Bacterial small subunit ribosomal RNA", at positions 524 to 776 of the family's 1533-position model. The record is from RNAcentral.